GAUGAAGAACGUAGCGAAAUGCGAUAAGUAAUGUGAAUUGCAGAAUUCAGUGAAUCAUCGAAUCUUUGAACGCACAUUGCGCCCGCCAGUAUUCUGGCGGGCAUGCCUGUUCGAGCGUCAUUUCAACCAUCAAGCCCCCGGCUUGUGUUGGGGACCUGCGGCUGCCGCAGGCCCUGAAAACCAGUGGCGGGCUCGCUGUCACACCGAGCGUAGUAGACUUUCAUCUCGCUCAGGGCGUGCUGCGGGUUCCGGCCGUAAAAAGCCUUAUUUACCCAAGGUUGACCUCGGAUCAGGUAGGAAGACCCGCUGAACUUAAGCAUAUCAAUAAGCGGAGGA
RNAcentral lists this unclassified non-coding RNA (336 nucleotides) under soil metagenome. RNAcentral's name for it is "partial contains 5.8S ribosomal RNA, internal transcribed spacer 2, and large subunit ribosomal RNA". The stretch from base 1 to 120 matches the Rfam family "5.8S ribosomal RNA", at positions 35 to 154 of the family's 154-position model. The record is from RNAcentral.